Molecule: transfer RNA, 73 nt
Filed under: Candidatus Physcosoma equi
Lineage: Bacteria; Pseudomonadati; Spirochaetota; Spirochaetia; Spirochaetales; Sphaerochaetaceae
Description: tRNA-Met
Rfam family: tRNA
About the family: Transfer RNA (tRNA) molecules are approximately 80 nucleotides in length.
Source: RNAcentral
GGCAAGAUAGCUCAGUUGGUAGAGCAUCCGGCUCAUAUCCGGCAGGUCACAGGUCCGAGUCCUGUUCUUGCUA